RNAcentral lists this ribosomal RNA (484 nucleotides) under uncultured bacterium. RNAcentral's name for it is "partial 16S ribosomal RNA". It matches the Rfam family "Bacterial small subunit ribosomal RNA", at positions 30 to 507 of the family's 1533-position model. The record is from RNAcentral.
AUCGAACGCUGGCGGCAGGCCUAACACAUGCAAGUCGAGCGGAUGAAGCGAGCUUGCUCCUGGAUUCAGCGGCAGACGGGUGAAUAAUGCCUAGUAAUCUGCCUGAUCGUGGGGGAUAACGUCCUGAAACGGGCGCUAAUCCCGCAUACGUCCUUCUGGCGCAAUUGGGGGAUCUUCCGACCUCUCGCUAUCAGAUUAGCCUAGGUCUGAUUAGCUAGUUGGUGGGGUAACGGCCUACCAAGGCGACGAUCCGUAACUGGUCUGAGAGGAUGAUCAGUCACACGGGAAGUGAGACACGGUCCAGACUCCGACGGGAGGCAGCAGUGGGGAAUAUUGGACAAUGGGCGAAAGCCUGAUCCAGCCAAGCCGCGUGUGUGAAGAAGGUCUUCGGAUUGUAAAGCACUGUAAGUUGGGAGGAAGGGCAGUAAUUUAACACCGGGCGGUUUUGACGGUACCAACAGAAGAAGCACCGGCUAACUUCGUG